CACGGCCGGAGCCCGCGGCUGCCUCGGCGAACCUGCCCGCGCGGCGCCAGGGAAGAAUCCGGGCGGUGGCGCGGGGCGCGUGCGCUCGGCGAGGGCGCCCUCUCCAGGGCCGUCUUCAGUCUGCGGGACGGGGCUGAGUGCCUGCUGGCCAGCGAGGGAAGGAAUUGGGGAUGCAGAGACAUCCGUGGGGAGAAACACUUGUCAACACUGAGCCCGAAGCAGGAUUUCAGGAAGGAGGCGGGGAGGCGGGGCAAGCCCCUGCGGGCUCUGGGUUUCCGAAGCAUCUCGCGGCCUCAUCUUGUGCUGAGCCAAUCCUGAGCGCUGUGUAAGCACCUGGGGCUGUCCCCCGGCAGGCUGCCCUGGCCCAGCUUCAGUCUUGUCGUCCCAGGACCGCGCCCACUGGCCAGCCCUCGCCCGAGUGGGCCCUGCUCCCUCGAGCUCCAUCCCAGACCAUUCAGGGGCCCCACCUGCCAUCCCCAGAGUAUAACAUAAUUUCUGCUCAGAGGCCCUGUUGAGGGGCCCUCCCAGAGGGCAGGUGUCCCCCCAGGUGGGCAGGUGUUCCUCCUUCACAGAACAUUACUGAGCACCUACUGUGUGCCAUGCACCAGGCAAGCUCUUUGUAAGCCUCACCACAUUUAAC
This 640-nucleotide long non-coding RNA is filed under the name Rhinolophus ferrumequinum (greater horseshoe bat). RNAcentral describes it as "lncRNA (ENSRFEG00010007253.1)". The record is from RNAcentral. Lineage: Eukaryota; Metazoa; Chordata; Mammalia; Chiroptera; Rhinolophidae.